Molecule: ribosomal RNA, 494 nt
Filed under: uncultured bacterium
Lineage: Bacteria
Description: partial 16S ribosomal RNA
Rfam family: Bacterial small subunit ribosomal RNA
Source: RNAcentral
GACGAACGCUGGCGGCGUGCUUAACACGUGCAAGUCGAACGGACAGGCCUGCUUUCCCUUGUGGAUUGCGGGUACUCGAGUGGCGAACGGGUGAGUAACACGUGAGUGAUCUGCCCCCAACUUGGGUAUAAGCCUGGGAAAAUGGGUCUAAUUCCCGAUAGGACUGCAGGGUGGUGCCUGUGGUGGAAAACGUUCUUCUAGUGGUUGGGGAUGAGCUCGCGGCCUAUCAGCUUGUUGGUGGGGUAAUGGCCUACCAAGGCGGCGACGGGUAGCCGGCCUGAGAGGGUGGACGGGCACAUUGGGACUGGGAUACGGCCCAGACGAGUACGGGAGGCAGCAGUGGGGAAGAAUGCGGAAGGAGCGUGAGCCUGAGGCAGCGACGCCGAGUGGGUGAUGACGGGCUUGGGGUUGUAAACUCCUUUCGACCGCGAUGAAGCCACCUGGUUGGAAGGGUGGUGACGGUAGUGGUAGAAGAAGCACCGGCUAACUACGUG